UAUGAGUCGUGAUGCGCGUUAGGGAUUGCAGUGGAAAUCCUUUUGUUUUUUCUUUAAAAACAAAAGAUUGGAACGAAAAGCCCGGCCCUUG
Molecule: small RNA, 91 nt
Filed under: Flavobacterium enshiense DK69
Lineage: Bacteria; Pseudomonadati; Bacteroidota; Flavobacteriia; Flavobacteriales; Flavobacteriaceae
Description: Flavobacterium sp. DK69 Flavo-1 RNA
Rfam family: Flavo-1 RNA
Source: Rfam by way of RNAcentral